CGAACGGACGAGAAGCUUGCUUCUCUGAUGUUAGCGGCGGACGGGUGAGUAACACGUGGAUAACCUACCUAUAAGACUGGGAUAACUUCGGGAAACCGGAGCUAAUACCGGAUAAUAUUUUGAACCGCAUGGUUCAAAAGUGAAAGACGGUCUUGCUGUCACUUAUAGAUGGAUCCGCGCUGCAUUAGCUAGUUGGUAAGGUAACGGCUUACCAAGGCAACGAUGCAUAGCCGACCUGAGAGGGUGAUCGGCCACACUGGAACUGAGACACGGUCCAGACUCCUACGGGAGGCAGCAGUAGGGAAUCUUCCGCAAUGGGCGAAAGCCUGACGGAGCAACGCCGCGUGAGUGAUGAAGGUCUUCGGAUCGUAAAACUCUGUUAUUAGGGAAGAACAUAUGUGUAAGUAACUGUGCACAUCUUGACGGUACCUAAUCAGAAAGCCACGGCUAACUACGUGCCAGCAGCCGCGGUAAUACGUAGGUGGCAAGCGUUAUCCGGAAUUAUUGGGCGUAAAGCGCGCGUAGGCGGUUUUUUAAGUCUGAUGUGAAAGCCCACGGCUCAACCGUGGAGGGUCAUUGGAAACUGGAAAACUUGAGUGCAGAAGAGGAAAGUGGAAUUCCUGGUGUAGCGGUGAAAUGCGCAGAUAUCAGGAGGAACACCGAUGGCGAAGGCAGGUUACUGGGCAGUUACUGACGCUGAGGAG
RNAcentral lists this ribosomal RNA (704 nucleotides) under uncultured Staphylococcus sp. RNAcentral describes it as "bacterial SSU rRNA". It matches the Rfam family "Bacterial small subunit ribosomal RNA", at positions 63 to 753 of the family's 1533-position model. The record is from RNAcentral. Lineage: Bacteria; Bacillati; Bacillota; Bacilli; Caryophanales; Staphylococcaceae.